GACGAACGCUGGCGGCGUGCUUAACACAUGCAAGUCGAGCGGUAAGGCCCUUUCGGGGGUACACGAGCGGCGAACGGGUGAGUAACACGUGGGUGACCUGCCCUCAGCUCUGGGAUAAGCCUGGGAAACCGGGUCUAAUACCGGAUAUGACUCCAUGACGCAUGUUGUGGGGUGGAAAGCCUUGUGCGGCUGAGGAUGGGCCCGCGGCCUAUCAGCUUGUUGGUGGGGUNAUGGCCUACCAAGGCGACGACGGGUAGCCGGCCUGGGAGGCGACCGGCCACACUGGGACUGGAGACACGGACCCAGACUCCUACGGGAGGCAGCAGUGGGGAAUCUUGCGCAAUGGGCGAAAGCCUGACGCAGCGACGCCGCGUGAGGGAUGACGGCCU
This 389-nucleotide ribosomal RNA is filed under the name uncultured bacterium. Its description in RNAcentral is "bacterial SSU rRNA". It matches the Rfam family "Bacterial small subunit ribosomal RNA", at positions 28 to 417 of the family's 1533-position model. The record is from RNAcentral.